This 498-nucleotide ribosomal RNA is filed under the name uncultured bacterium. Its description in RNAcentral is "partial 16S ribosomal RNA". It matches the Rfam family "Bacterial small subunit ribosomal RNA", at positions 30 to 523 of the family's 1533-position model. The record is from RNAcentral.
AUUGAACGCUGGCGGCAUGCCUUACACAUGCAAGUCGAACGGUAACAGGUCUUCGGAUGCUGACGAGUGGCGAACGGGUGAGUAAUACAUCGGAACGUGCCUAGUAGUGGGGGAUAACUACUCGAAAGAGUGGCUAAUACCGCAUGAGAUCUACGGAUGAAAGCAGGGGAUCGCAAGACCUUGUGCUACUAGAGCGGCCGAUGGCAGAUUAGGUAGUGGGUGGGAUAAAAGCUUACCAAGCCGACGAUCUGUAGCUGGUCUGAGAGGACGAUCAGCCAAACUGGGACUGAGACACGGCCCAGACUCCUACGGGAGGCAGCAGUGGGGAAUUUUGGACAAUGGGCGCAAGCCUGAUCCAGCAAUGCCGCGUGCAGGAUGAAGGCCUUCGGGUUGUAAACUGCUUUUGUACGGAACGAAAAGCCCUGGGUUAAUACCCUGGGGUCAUGACGGUACCGUAAGAAUAAGCACCGGCUAACUACGUGCCAGCAGCCGCCGUAA